Molecule: ribosomal RNA, 1025 nt
Filed under: Salmonella enterica
Lineage: Bacteria; Pseudomonadati; Pseudomonadota; Gammaproteobacteria; Enterobacterales; Enterobacteriaceae
Also listed under: 1 other name
Description: partial 23S ribosomal RNA
Rfam family: Bacterial large subunit ribosomal RNA
Source: RNAcentral
AAUCCAUAGGUUAAUGAGGCGAACCGGGGGAACUGAAACAUCUAAGUACCCCGAGGAAAAGAAAUCAACCGAGAUUCCCCCAGUAGCGGCGAGCGAACGGGGAGGAGCCCAGAGCCUGAAUCAGCAUGUGUGUUAGUGGAAGCGUCUGGAAAGGCGCGCGAUACAGGGUGACAGCCCCGUACACAAAAGCGCAUGUGCUGUGAGCUCGAUGAGUAGGGCGGGACACGUGGUAUCCUGUCUGAAUAUGGGGGGACCAUCCUCCAAGGCUAAAUACUCCUGACUGACCGAUAGUGAACCAGUACCGUGAGGGAAAGGCGAAAAGAACCCCGGCGAGGGGAGUGAAAAAGAACCUGAAACCGUGUACGUACAAGCAGUGGGAGCACCCUUUGGGUGUGACUGCGUACCUUUUGUAUAAUGGGUCAGCGACUUAUAUUCUGUAGCAAGGUUAACCGAAUAGGGGAGCCGGAGGGAAACCGAGUCUUAACCGGGCGUUAAGUUGCAGGGUAUAGACCCGAAACCCGGUGAUCUAGCCAUGGGCAGGUUGAAGGUUGGGUAACACUAACUGGAGGACCGAACCGACUAAUGUUGAAAAAUUAGCGGAUGACCUGUGGCUGGGGGUGAAAGGCCAAUCAAACCGGGAGAUAGCUGGUUCUCCCCGAAAGCUAUUUAGGUAGCGCCUCGUGAAUUCAUCUCCGGGGGUAGAGCACUGUUUCGGCUAGGGGGCCAUCCCGGCUUACCAACCCGAUGCAAACUGCGAAUACCGGAGAAUGUUAUCACGGGAGACACACGGCGGGUGCUAACGUCCGUCGUGAAGAGGGAAACAACCCAGACCGCCAGCUAAGGUCCCAAAGUCAUGGUUAAGUGGGAAACGAUGUGGGAAGGCCCAGACAGCCAGGAUGUUGGCUUAGAAGCAGCCAUCAUUUAAAGAAAGCGUAAUAGCUCACUGGUCGAGUCGGCCUGCGCGGAAGAUGUAACGGGGCUAAACCAUGCACCGAAGCUGCGGCAGCGACACUGUGUGUUGUUGG